RNAcentral lists this long non-coding RNA (2666 nucleotides) under Homo sapiens (human). RNAcentral's name for it is "ARGLU1 divergent transcript". The record is from RNAcentral. Lineage: Eukaryota; Metazoa; Chordata; Mammalia; Primates; Hominidae.
GCACUCAUCACUUGCUGCCUUGGACUUAGUUUCCUCAUUCGUAGAAUGGAGACACCACACUUUCUGAAGUGCUUAUGAGACUUGCAGGAGGUAGACUUUUCUGGAAGACCCAGACCUCGAGUUGGAAUGGGGAGAACACUUAAACACUUGAUGUGCAGACAUCCUGAGCUUCAGCUGAUCUUACAAGCACAAAGGGGAAAACUUCCUGCCCUCCUUCCUGAGAUCAGAGAGACGAGUUUUCAGGAAUCCCUCCCCAGGGUUUGCCUGUGUACUCUGUGCAUGGUGGAAGUGGAGAAGAGUGAUCCAGCUUCCUUCAGUGGGACCCUCCUCACCCAUCCUGAUGGGUAGAUACAAGAUGCCGCCAUAGGGGCUGCCCUCGGACAGAGCCAAGGAGAACAUUGACUCAUUCGUCGUGUGCAGACCUUUGCGGAAGAUGCCGAUGUGCUCAAGGCAUGCUCCCUCAUGUGAGGGGUGACAUCACUGCCUAAUUUACACUCAUGCCAGGCCUAAAUGACCUCAUCACAGAAAGGCGAUUGUCUUGGCUCCUACUACAUGGCACAAUUCUUUUCCUGAACAUUCCUGAUCAUACUCUGUGCACUCCCUCAUCCCUGCCUUUGUUAUUUCCCCCUACCCCUGGAACACAGUUUGACAAACAUCAAUUCCAUUUUCUUGUGAAGGCAAGUUAAUUUUCAGACUCUCAGUGUCUUCAUCUCUAAAACGAAGGGUUAUCUGUGCUACUGCUGCUGCUGCUGCUGCUGCUGCUGCUGCUGCUGCUGCUGCUGCUGCUGUUUUCCUCAUGGGUGUCUGGAGGGGAGCUGAAAUGAAAGGGUGGAGGUAUCUGGAUCCCAGGGCUGCUUCCUUUUAUCUGCCCUACAUAUUGCUAAAAUCGCUUUUGAAAAAUAGGCCCCACUGCUUUUAAAUUACUGAACUAGAUAGUAUCGCAGGCUUCUUUGGCUAUAAAAUUCUGUGAUUCUAGCAUUCCCGGGAGUGAGGAUUCAAACUGACCUGCAAGGAUAAUCCUAAGGCAUUCAGCCUUCAAAGCCCUCAGCGCUGCCUCCCUAACCCUUAUGGGAACUUCCAUGGGACAUCCAGGGUCAUCUGACAUCUGAUUUCAUUCUAGCUUGCAGCCUUAUCUUUUCAAAUGGCUUGACAAUGUAGUCAAACUAGACCCUCUCUAAAUUUCAAACCAACUGAUACUUUCUGCUCUAGGUCUUUGUUGAUACUAUACUCUGCUCAAAAUCAUAUGCAUCCUACAAGAUUCAUCUCAAAAACUAAAUAUUAUAUCUACCACACUUACCGUAUUUUGCUAUGUGGUAUUCUUGUUUGUUUGUUUUCUGAGUGAACAAUUCAGGAGCUGUGAGUACAUUCACAGCCUUAUGCAACCAUCACCACUACCUAAUUCCGGAACAUUUUCAUCACCCCACAAAGAAAUCCUGGGCCCAUUAGUAAUCACUUCCCAUUCUCCCCUGUACCCCGCCUCUGGCCACCACUAAUCUACUUUCUGUCUCUGUGAAUUUGUCUAUUUUGGACAUUUCAUAUAAAUGGAAUUAUACAAUGUGUGACCAUGUGUAAGGAUUUUCUCACUUAUCAUGAUGUAAACUUUGAAAAAGUUUCAUCCAUGUUGUUGCAUGGAUAAAUGCUUUACUUUUAAAAUUGAUACUAUUUUAUUGUAUGAAUAGACCAUAUUUUAUUUGUUCAUUUAUCAAAUAUUUGGGUUAUUUUUAAUUUCUGGCUAUUGUGAAUAAUGCUGCUAUGAAUAUCCAUUCUGUGAACAUAUAUUUUCGAUUCUCUUGGGUACCUAAGAGUGGAAUUGCUGGGUUAUGUGGUACCCAUGUUUAAGUUUUUGAGGAACUGUCAAACUCUUUUCCACAGUUGCUGAACCAUUUUACAUCCCCACUAGGAAUGUAAGAGAGUUCUGAUUUUCGUACAUCCCUGACAACACUUUUUAUUUUCCAUCUUUUGAAUUAUAGUCAUCAUAGUGGGUGCCAAGUGGUAACACAUUGUGAUUUGGUUUGCAUUUCCCUAAUGACUACUGAUGAGCAUCUCUUCACAUACUUAUAGGCUAGUUGCAUAUCUUCUUUGGAGAAAUGUCUGUUCAUAUCUUUUGGCCAUUUUAAAUUGGGUUAUUUGUAUUUUUAUUGUUGAGCCAUAAGGUUCUUUACAUAUUCUCUGUGAAAGAAACUUAUCAGGCUUAUCAUGUACAGAUAUGUUCUCCCAUUGUCUGGUUCAUAUUUUCACUUGCUUCAUAAAGUUAUCUGAUACAUAAAAGUGUUUAAUUUUUAUGAAGUCUAACUGAUCCUUUCUUUUGUUGCCUGUGCUUUGGUGUUAUAUCUAAGAAACCAUUGCCUAACCUAAGUUCAUGAAGAUUUAAGCUUAUAAGAUUUCUUCUAAGAGUUUCAUAAUUUAUGUCUUACAUUUAUGUGUUUGACUUCAGUUAAAUUUUUUAAUAUCAUACAGAGAUCCAACUUUAUUAUCCAGAAUGUGGACAUACGGUUGUCGCAGCACCAUUUAUUGAAAAGACUGUUCCACAUUGAAUAUUCUUGGCACCCUUGUUCAUAAUCAAUUAAUUACAAAUGUAAGUGUUUAUCUUUGGGCUGAAUUCUUUUCCAUUGAUUUAUAUGUCUAUCCUUAUGCCAAUACCUCAACUGUCUUAUUUACUAUACUUC